GGUUAAGUGAAUAAGGGCGCACGGUGGAUGCCUUGGCACUAGGAGCCGAUGAAGGACGGGACUAACACCGAUAUGCUUCGGGGAGCUGUAAGUAAGCUUUGAUCCGGAGAUUUCCGAAUGGGGAAACCCAGCAUCUUUUAUAGGAUGUUACUUUUCAGUGAAUACAUAGCUGAUUAGAGGUAGACGCAGAGAACUGAAACAUCUAAGUACCUGCAGGAAGAGAAAGAAAAAUCGAUUCCCUGAGUAGCGGCGAGCGAAACGGGAAAAGCCCAAACCAAGAGGCUUGCCUCUUGGGGUUGUAGGACUCCGAUAUGGUAGUCCAGUGAGAUAGUCGAAGGACCUGGAAAGGUCUGCUAGAAAGGGUAAAAGCCCCGUAGACAAAAUUUGACUGGCACCUAGGAGGAUCCUGAGUACGGCGGAACACGAGGAAUUCCGUCGGAAUCCGGGAGGACCAUCUCCCAAGGCUAAAUACUCCCUAGUGACCGAUAGUGAACCAGUACCGUGAGGGAAAGGUGAAAAGCACCCCGGAAGGGGAGUGAAAUAGAUCCUGAAACCGUGUGCCUACAACAAGUUAGAGCCCGUUAAUGGGUGAUAGCGUGCCUUUUGUAGAAUGAACCGGCGAGUUACGAUUACUUGCGAGGUUAAGUUGAAAAGACGGAGCCGCAGCGAAAGCGAGUCUGAAUAGGGCGAAUGAGUAAGUGGUCGUAGACCCGAAACCAUGUGAUCUACCCAUGUCCAGGUUGAAGGUGCGGUAAAACGCACUGGAGGACCGAACCCACGUACGUUGAAAAGUGCGGGGAUGAGGUGUGGGUAGCGGAGAAAUUCCAAACGAACUUGGAGAUAGCUGGUUCUCUCCGAAAUAGCUUUAGGGCUAGCCUCAGAGUAAGAAUGAUGGAGGUAGAGCACUGUUUGGACUAGGGGCCCAUCUCGGGUUACCGAAUUCAGAUAAACUCCGAAUGCCAUCCAUUCAUCUCUGGGAGUCAGACUGUGAGUGAUAAGAUCCAUAGUCGAAAGGGAAACAGCCCAGACCACCAGCUAAGGUCCCCAAAUAACUAUUAAGUGGAAAAGGAUGUGGGGUUGCACAGACAACUAGGAUGUUGGCUUAGAAGCAGCCACCAUUUAAAGAGUGCGUAAUAGCUCACUAGUCGAGUGACCCUGCGCCGAAAAUGUACCGGGGCUAAAUAGUUUACCGAAGCUGUGGAAUACNNNNNNNNNNNNNNNNNNNNNNNNNNNNNNNNNNNNNNNNNNNNNNNNNNNNNNNNNNNNNNNNNNNNNNNNNNNNNNNNNNNNNNNNNNNNNAACAAGUACCGAAGUUCCUGAUGUCACACUGCCGAGAAAAGCUUCUAGUGAGAAAACAAUGGCCCGUACCGCAAACCGACACAGGUAGUCGAGGAGAGAAUCCUAAGGUGAGCGAGAGAACUCUCGUUAAGGAACUCGGCAAAAUGACCCCGUAACUUCGGGAGAAGGGGUGCUGAUCUAACGAUCAGCCGCAGUGAAUAGGCCCAAGCGACUGUUUAUCAAAAACACAGGUCUCUGCAAAAUCGAAAGAUGACGUAUAGGGGCUGACGCCUGCCCGGUGCUGGAAGGUUAAGAGGAGUGCUUAGCGUAAGCGAAGGUACGAAUUGAAGCCCCAGUAAACGGCGGCCGUAACUAUAACGGUCCUAAGGUAGCGAAAUUCCUUGUCGGGUAAGUUCCGACCCGCACGAAAGGCGUAACGAUUUGGGCACUGUCUCAACGAGAGACUCGGUGAAAUUUUAGUACCUGUGAAGAUGCAGGUUACCCGCGACAGGACGGAAAGACCCCAUGGAGCUUUACUGCAGUUUGAUAUUGAGUGUUUGUACCACAUGUACAGGAUAGGUAGGAGCCGUAGAAGUCGGGACGCUAGUUUCGACAGAGGCGCUGGUGGGAUACUACCCUUGUGUUAUGACCACUCUAACCCGCACCACUAAUCGUGGUGGGAGACAGUGUCAGAUGGGCAGUUUGACUGGGGCGGUCGCCUCCUAAAGAGUAACGGAGGCGCCCAAAGGUUCCCUCAGAAUGGUUGGAAAUCAUUCGCAGAGUGUAAAGGCACAAGGGAGCUUGACUGCGAGACCUACAAGUCGAGCAGGGACGAAAGUCGGGCUUAGUGAUCCGGUGGUUCCGCAUGGAAGGGCCAUCGCUCAACGGAUAAAAGCUACCCUGGGGAUAACAGGCUUAUCUCCCCCAAGAGUCCACAUCGACGGGGAGGUUUGGCACCUCGAUGUCGGCUCGUCGCAUCCUGGGGCUGUAGUCGGUCCCAAGGGUUGGGCUGUUCGCCCAUUAAAGCGGCACGCGAGCUGGGUUCAGAACGUCGUGAGACAGUUCGGUCCCUAUCCGUCGCGGGCGUUGGAAAUUUGAGAGGAUCUGUCCUUAGUACGAGAGGACCGGGAUGGACUUACCGCUGGUGUACCAGUUGUCUCGCCAGAGGCAUCGCUGGGUAGCUAUGUAGGGAAGGGAUAAACGCUGAAAGCAUCUAAGUGUGAAGCCCACCUCAAGAUGAGAUUUCCCAUUUCUUUAAGAAAGUAAGAUCCCUGAGAGAAGAUCAGGUAGAUAGGUCAGGAGUGGAAGUGCAGUGAUGUACGGAGCGGACUGAUACUAAUCGAUCGAGGACUUAACCAA
This 2637-nucleotide ribosomal RNA is filed under the name Enterococcus avium. RNAcentral's name for it is "23S ribosomal RNA". It matches the Rfam family "Bacterial large subunit ribosomal RNA". The record is from RNAcentral. Lineage: Bacteria; Bacillati; Bacillota; Bacilli; Lactobacillales; Enterococcaceae.